GAUGAACGCUGGCGGCGUGCUUAACACAUGCAAGUCGAACGGAAAGGCUCCUGCUUGCAGGGGUACUCGAGUGGCGAACGGGUGAGUAACACGUGGGUGAUCUGCCCUGCACUUCGGGAUAAGCCUGGGAAACUGGGUCUAAUACCGGAUAGGACGAUGGUUUGGAUGCCAUUGUGGAAAGUUUUUCGGUGUGGGAUGAGCUCGCGGCCUAUCAGCUUGUUGGUGGGGUAAUGGCCUACCAAGGCGUCGACGGGUAGCCGGCCUGAGAGGGCGUACGGCCACAUUGGGACUGAGAUACGGCCCAGACUCCUACGGGAGGCAGCAGUGGGGAAUAUUGCACAAUGGGCGCAAGCCUGAUGCAGCGACGCCGCGUGGGGGAUGACGGCCUUCGGGUUGUAAACUCCUUUCGCUAGGGACGAAGCGCAAGUGACGGUACCUGGAGAAGAAGCACCGGCUAACUACGUG
RNAcentral lists this ribosomal RNA (465 nucleotides) under uncultured bacterium. Its description in RNAcentral is "partial 16S ribosomal RNA". It matches the Rfam family "Bacterial small subunit ribosomal RNA", at positions 28 to 507 of the family's 1533-position model. The record is from RNAcentral.